RNAcentral lists this long non-coding RNA (765 nucleotides) under Androctonus crassicauda. Lineage: Eukaryota; Metazoa; Arthropoda; Arachnida; Scorpiones; Buthidae. The record is from RNAcentral.
GUGCUGUGAAUUUCCAGACAUUGUAAGUGAUCUACUUCCUGUCAUUGCUGCUUCUAUGGACGAUGUCUACACCUUUAUUAAACAGACUGUACGUAAUGAGAACCAAUCAAUAUCGACUACCUCGUUUCGAAUUUCGACGUCAUCCAUUACUUCGAUUUUCCCGCGCACACUCGGUCUGGACGCGCGUGUCUGUCGACCAAAAUAUCCAACUGGCUGGAUACGGGUUUUGUGGCCGGACACGCCCCAUAAGACAACUUAGGGCGAUUUCGAAGGGACAACGGCCACCGAAAAGCUUAUCUGAAAGUCGUUCCCAGGCGCGGCGAAAUCCACUCGUUUGGUACCAGCCUUAGCCAUCCGACGUAUGGUGAAGGCAGAAAAUCGAAAAAUUUUAAUUGGCCGCCAUCUUAUUUUCGUCAAAAUAACUCGUACUAAAUUACUGUACGUUUAAACAGAAAUUACUUUUCAAAAUAUUUAUUUAUUACGCUUUGAAUCGUAUAUCGAUUCUCCUCCCCAUCCACCUGGCCAAUAAACUUAAUUUCUGUAACGAAUAAUCGAACGAUAUUACUGCCUUGUCGUACUCUAAGCGUGGAUAUAAGAAAUCAACCGAAUUCAAACAGAUCGCCGAUACUUCAACUUUUUUUUUACUUAGCUAAGAUAAUUUUCCUGUUAAAAUUACACAGCUAAAAUUAAAUACUUUUAUAUAAUGUGAUAUGUGAAUUUUUAUUCUGAGAAAUUAUUGGUGCGUUUUUAAAAUUUGCCAUCGAC